CCUACGGGAGGCAACAGUGAGGAAUAUUGGUCAAUGGACGAGAGUCUGAACCAGCCAAGUAGCGUGAAGGAUGACUGCCCUAUGGGUUGUAAACUUCUUUUAUAUGGGAAUAAAACGUUCCACGUGUGGGAUUUUGUAUGUACCAUAUGAAUAAGGAUCGGCUAACUCCGUGCCAGCAGCCGCGGUAAUACGGAGGAUCCGAGCGUUAUCCGGAUUUAUUGGGUUUAAAGGGAGCGUAGGUGGAUUGUUAAGUCAGUUGUGAAAGUUUGCGGCUCAACCGUAAAAUUGCAGUUGAAACUGGCAGUCUUGAGUACAGUAGAGGUGGGCGGAAUUCGUGGUGUAGCGGUGAAAUGCUUAGAUAUCACGAAGAACUCCGAUUGCGAAGGCAGUUCACUGGACUGCAACUGACACUGAGGCUCGAUAGUGUGGGUAUCAAACAGGAUUAGAUACCCCUGUAGUC
RNAcentral lists this ribosomal RNA (460 nucleotides) under uncultured bacterium. RNAcentral's name for it is "partial 16S ribosomal RNA". It matches the Rfam family "Bacterial small subunit ribosomal RNA", at positions 338 to 795 of the family's 1533-position model. The record is from RNAcentral.